AUGGAGGCGACACGGCCGCCGCCGCAUCGAUCCCCAAUCCCUAACCCAACCAACCCCUCCACUUUCCACGGCGAGCCAGUAGAUCCACCGAUGGCCGGCACCAAGCGUGGUGGGCGGAAGGGGCGGAAGGCGGCGGCUGGCGACGACAAGCAUUCUCCCCCCAAAAGGAAGGCGGCCAGCUCCGGCGACAAGGCCGGGGCGUGCGAGGCGUCCCUGCCGACUCUCGACGUCGCGAUGCUGCGGAAGAGGCUCUUGGAGGACCUGCAAGCCUUCCCCGAGGCGGCGGUGUUGGAGGAACAUCAGCUCAAGGAGGCGGUCGACAGGCUCAUCAAGGAGUCCAAGCCCGAGACCGCGACCCCGACCGCCAAAGGCAUGGUUCGCUUCGGCGACGAUUAG
RNAcentral lists this ribosomal RNA (396 nucleotides) under Triticum aestivum (bread wheat). RNAcentral describes it as "partial small subunit ribosomal RNA". The record is from RNAcentral. Lineage: Eukaryota; Viridiplantae; Streptophyta; Magnoliopsida; Poales; Poaceae.